RNAcentral lists this ribosomal RNA (404 nucleotides) under uncultured bacterium. RNAcentral describes it as "partial 16S ribosomal RNA". It matches the Rfam family "Bacterial small subunit ribosomal RNA", at positions 30 to 526 of the family's 1533-position model. The record is from RNAcentral.
AUUGAACGCUGGCGGCAGGCCUAACACAUGCAAGUCGAGCGAGCGGCGGACGGGUGAGUAAUGCCUGGGAAUUGCCCAGUCGAGGGGGAUAACAGUUGGAACCGACUGAUAAUACCGCAUACGAUUGGCUUUCUCAGGUGGGGUUAGCCAGUUGGUGCGGUAAUGGCUCACCAAGGCGACGAUCCCUAGCUGGCCUGAGAGGAUGAUCAGCCACACUGGAACUGAGACACGGUCCAGACUCCUACGGGAGGCAGGAGUGGGGAAUAUUGCACAAUGGGGGAAACCCUGAUGGAGCCAUGCCGCGUGUGUGAAGAAGGCCUUCGGGUUGUAAAGCACUUUCAUCAGGGAGGCGGUACUCGCAGAAGAAGCACCGGCUAACUCCGUGCCAGCAGCCGCGGUAAUAC